GCACCGGAAGUAGCCGCCCAGCUUUGCUCCAGCCCUGUGAGUACAAAUUAUCCGGCCUGGGCAACCCGCGGUCAGUAAACCACUAGGAGUCUGACCUCAUGGAGGCAGGACACCGUCUCUCGAGGCGGGGAAAUUUGUGGUGGUUGGAGGUGGCAUCGCGGGUGUCACCGGUGCUAAGCAGUGCAUUGUAACAGGAGAUGGCAGUCAGUAUGUAAGAACUUUUUGUGCUGGAGCUAAACCAAAAUUGAUACAUGAAGGAAAUCCUUUUGUAUCAGGAACCCAGGAUACAGACAGUGCUCAGAGGUAUGGCCUACAUAAUUGACCAAUGAAAAGAUAUACAGCUGCAAUUUCAUGGUUGGUGCUACAGAAGUUACUCCAAAUAUAGAACCUUUUCUCUGGGGCAACAAUGUAAGUUUGAUCUAGGCGAAGAUGGUGGCCUGAAAGUGGAUGAUCACAUGCACACGUCUCUCUCUGAUAUCUAUGCUGCAGGUGACAUCUGCACUGCAUCAUGGCAGCCCAGCCCAGUGUGGCAGCAGAUGAGACUGUGGACCCAGGCUAGACAGAUGGGGUGGUACGCAGCCAAGUGCAUGGCUGCAGCUACUUUAGGAUACUCUAUUGACAUGGACUUCAGCUUUGAACUUUUUGCUCAUGUAACAUUUUUCAACUAUAAGGUUGUACUACCAGGAAAAUACCAUACAUGGGGCUGAGGUUCAGAUCAUGAAUUAAUGCUGAGAUGUACCAAAGGACAAGAACACAUCAAAGUCAUCAUGCAGAAUGGGAGAAUGAUGGGAGCUGUCUUAAUUUUAAAUCAUAUGGAUCUUUCAUCAUAUGAAGAAGGUCUGCUAGAUCCAAAUAUUGAUAUACAUUAUUUUGAUUUAAAAAGGCAUUUCAAGAAUUACAUAAAGUUCCAAGUAACACAAGAAAGUCACAAUAAGAUUCCUGCCUGUCUCCUGUGUUCAUCUGGACCCAGCACAGUACCAUUUAAAGCAUCCCAUAAGCUUUAAUGUAUUUUUUCAUUAUAUAAAGAGUCAGUUACCUUGAAACAA
Molecule: RNA transcript, 1046 nt
Organism: Neofelis nebulosa (Clouded leopard)
Lineage: Eukaryota; Metazoa; Chordata; Mammalia; Carnivora; Felidae
Gene name: pyridine nucleotide-disulfide oxidoreductase domain-containing protein 1-like
Exons: 7
Source: RefSeq, a predicted model, not a curated record